UGAGUUUGUUGCUUAUUUUGCUAAAUGUAGUAUAUUUUCAUUAAUUGAACAUGAUUUUUGUGUCAAUGGUCUAUCGGGUCUAGGAGUUUAGAUAUAUGUGGAGGAUGGAAUGCCUGAUAUUUGUAUUUUCUAGCUGUUUGAAAACUAGAUGACAGAGCUAGGAAGAAUUAAAAUUGUGAGCAAUUUGAGGGAAACAAAUAAAUCAAUGAUACUGUGAUUAAAUUUAGCUGGG
This 232-nucleotide unclassified non-coding RNA is filed under the name Hevea brasiliensis (rubber tree). Lineage: Eukaryota; Viridiplantae; Streptophyta; Magnoliopsida; Malpighiales; Euphorbiaceae. The record is from RNAcentral.